This 508-nucleotide ribosomal RNA is filed under the name uncultured Finegoldia sp. Its description in RNAcentral is "bacterial SSU rRNA". It matches the Rfam family "Bacterial small subunit ribosomal RNA", at positions 8 to 520 of the family's 1533-position model. The record is from RNAcentral. Lineage: Bacteria; Bacillati; Bacillota; Tissierellia; Tissierellales; Peptoniphilaceae.
AGAGUUUUGAACCUGGCUCAGGACGAACGCUGGCGGCGUGCUUAACACAUGCAAGUCGAACGGGAUUUAGUAGACAGAAGCCUCGGUGGAAGAUUACUAAUGAGAGUGGCGAACGGGUGAGUAACGCGUGAGCAACCUGCCUAUGACAGUGGGAUAGCCUCGGGAAACCGGGAUUAAUACCGCAUAAAAUCGUAGAAACACAUGUUUCAACGGUCAAAGAUUUAUCGGUCAUAGAUGGGCUCGCGUCUGAUUAGCUAGUUGGUGAGAUAACAGCCCACCAAGGCGACGAUCAGUAGCCGGUCUGAGAGGAUGAACGGCCACAUUGGAACUGAGACACGGUCCAAACUCCUACGGGAGGCAGCAGUGGGGAAUAUUGCACAAUGGGGGAAACCCUGAUGCAGCGACGCCGCGUGAACGAAGAAGGUAUUCGUAUCGUAAAGUUCUGUCCUAUGGGAAGAUAAUGACAGUACCAUAGAAGAAAGCUCCGGCUAAAUACUCAGCGUUCCGG